UACGUAGGGGGCAAGCGUUGUCCGGAAUCAUUGGGCGUAAAGCGCGUGUAGGCGGCCCGGUAAGUCCGCUGUGAAAGCCCAGGGCUCAACCCUGGGAUGCCGGUGGAUACUGUCGGGCUAGAGUCCGGAAGAGGCGAGUGGAAUUCCUGGUGUAGCGGUGAAAUGCGCAGAUAUCAGGAGGAACACCAAUGGCGAAGGCAGCUCGCUGGGACGUGACUGACGCUGAGACGCGAAAGCGUGGGGAGCAAACAGG
This 253-nucleotide ribosomal RNA is filed under the name uncultured bacterium. RNAcentral's name for it is "partial 16S ribosomal RNA". It matches the Rfam family "Bacterial small subunit ribosomal RNA", at positions 524 to 776 of the family's 1533-position model. The record is from RNAcentral.